Molecule: ribosomal RNA, 253 nt
Filed under: uncultured bacterium
Lineage: Bacteria
Description: partial 16S ribosomal RNA
Rfam family: Bacterial small subunit ribosomal RNA
Source: RNAcentral
UACGUAGGGACCAAGCGUUGUUCGGAUUUACUGGGGGUAAAGGGCGCGGAGGCGGCAAAUUAAGUCAUCUGUGAAAUCUCCGAGCUUAACUCGGAACGGUCAGGUGAUACUGAUCUGCUAGAGUGCGGAAGGGGCAAUCGGAAUUCUUGGUGUAGCGGUGAAAUGCGUAGAUAUCGUAAGGAAGACCAGUGGCGAAGGCGGGUCUCUGGACAGUUCCUGACGCUGAGGCACGAAGGCCAGGGGAGCAAACGGG